GUAACGAAAUACUGAUUCGUUGGAAUCCUAACAUGCCAAAUCUAUCCCUAAACUCUGCAUCCUGAGCUGCUUCUAACUGCUGUGAUGAAACAGCUUUCACAAGAAAAACAGUGCUGGCCAACAAGAGACAGAAUUUCAGUAAUACCCUUGUGAACUUUGACCUUUGUUUCGGUCCUCUGCUCGGCCCUCCACAAAGCUUUCUUGUGUGUCACGCUUUCAGCACCUGACUGGAGUAACGACCAGGGGUCACUAUUAGGGCAGAGGCCUGGACUUUAGUGAUAUGUUGCCCACACUGAACGCUGCCACGAAACCCCACAAACUGCUCGCUGUGUUUGCAGAAGACUACACUGCCAAAGUAUUAGAUCAUUCACUUCAGUUCCCCUUGUUUUUGUUUUUGGUCUGUUCCCCCGGGGGCAGCUCCGUCCUAAGCGGCGUGUAUUGAUAUAGAGCAAGUUCACUCCAGUUCAGUCCUCUCAGGCCAUCUGGGGUUUGCUCAGGACAUUAUAUGACAUGUGUCUGUGUCCGAGUAAAUAUACAUUCGCCUCCCCGGCAGGGUUCAUUGAGCUGACUGCAUCCUCUGCCAAGAAUAACAGGGAGGAUGUGCUCUCUGCCCAUGCUGGUAAUGACAGCCUCGUUUUCUAGCCAUAACACACACUCAUUGGUCUGAGAGAAAAAGAUUUCCUUUGUAGUUAGUUGAAGCCGAAAUUUGUUAGCCAUCCAUGCUCAGCUGUUUAUAUAUGUGGGGGUGACUCGAGACUUUUACACAUACACGGAUAAAGACCAGAGAGAGAGUGUGUGUGUGUGUGUGUGUGUAGUGGGUAGCUGGGUGGCUGAGUGGCUGAGUGGCUACUAUCGCGUUUCCCAGGAAAUUAGUGAGUCAUUCACUUUAGGUACCUUUUUAAAAGCGUCAUGGGAUUUCCAUAGCAUCAUGAUGUUUGCGAGCCUCAAUAUUCAGGGACUGGGUAGCGUCUUAUCUCCAGUGCGAAACAUCUAACAUAUCUUGGCUAACUGACUACAUUUGAGAGGCCCCUGGCAGUGUUUCUGGUGUUGUUAGCACAGAUCCUUGCACUUUUUUCUGGGGAUUGAACCCUGGCAAUCAAGUGUAGCAGAUGCUGAUCAGUGGAAAAGGGGAGUCUGUCUUUAAGCGGAUGUUCGGAUUUGAUUUAGCCCAAACAUUCUGGUCAGCAGUGUUUUUUUGUGUGAGUCAACAUGUUAUGUUUACCUUAU
Molecule: long non-coding RNA, 1227 nt
Organism: Colossoma macropomum (tambaqui)
Lineage: Eukaryota; Metazoa; Chordata; Actinopteri; Characiformes; Serrasalmidae
Exons: 4
Source: RefSeq, a predicted model, not a curated record